This 733-nucleotide long non-coding RNA is filed under the name Pan troglodytes (chimpanzee). RNAcentral describes it as "long non-coding RNA NONPTRT018479". The record is from RNAcentral. Lineage: Eukaryota; Metazoa; Chordata; Mammalia; Primates; Hominidae.
CGGGAGCAGUGGCUCUGGCGGUCGUGGCGGUCGGAGAUCCGAGAGCUCUGCUUCUCUGAAAAGCGUGUGGCUUUCUGGACUUGGUCUACACCUGACAGUCACUGGAAUGCUACUCCAGGCCUUAGAAGAAAGUGAAACUAAUUUUAAAGGCCCCUUAUUCUUUCUGUUACCUGCCUGCUGAAGUGAAAAUAAAUCUCCCUGCUCCUUUAUUCUAAACUGAUUUUACUUUCCCAUCUCAAAAACGUGUGCAGGGAGCAGGAGCCCUCCUACCCGAGCCCCAGCUGUAUUGGAAACCCUCCUAAGUCAGAGUGAUGGGUCAGGAAUCUAGCAAGCCUGUAUGGCCCAAUCCAACAGGAGGGUAUCAGUCCAAUACAGGUAGGAGGUAUGGAAGAAGGCAUGCUUAUGUCAGUUUCAGGCCACCCACGAGCCAGCGGGAAAGGAUUGCCAGCCGGAGAAAGACGAACUCCGAAGUCCCAAUGCACAGAUCAGCCCCCAGUCAAACCACCAAGAGGAGCCGAUCGCCAUUUUCCACUACUCGUCGUAGUUGGGACGACAGCGAGAGUUCGGGAACCAACCUGAAUAUUGAUAAUGAGGACUAUUCCAGGUAUCCGCCAAGAGAGUACAGAGCUUCGGGUAGCAGAAGAGGAAUGGCCUAUGGACAUAUUGACUCUUAUGGGGCAGAUGAUAGUGAGGAGGAGGGGGCUGGGCCUGUUGAGCGACCGCCAGUGAGAGG